CGAACGGGUGAGUAAUGCGUGGCCAACCUGCCCCAUGCUCCAGAAUAGCUCUUGGAAACGGGUGGUAAUGCUGGAUGCUCCAACUUGACGCAUGUCUUGUUGGGAAAGUGUUUAGUGGCAUGGGAUGGGGUCGCGUCCUAUCAGCUUGUAGGCGGGGUAAUGGCCCACCUAGGCUUCGACGGGUAGCCGGCCUGAGAGGGCGGACGGCCACAUUGGGACUGAGAUACGGCCCAGACUCCUACGGGAGGCAGCAGCC
This 256-nucleotide ribosomal RNA is filed under the name uncultured Gardnerella sp. Its description in RNAcentral is "partial 16S ribosomal RNA". It matches the Rfam family "Bacterial small subunit ribosomal RNA", at positions 99 to 355 of the family's 1533-position model. The record is from RNAcentral. Lineage: Bacteria; Bacillati; Actinomycetota; Actinomycetes; Bifidobacteriales; Bifidobacteriaceae.